This 803-nucleotide ribosomal RNA is filed under the name Foraminifera environmental sample. Its description in RNAcentral is "SSU rRNA". It matches the Rfam family "Eukaryotic small subunit ribosomal RNA", at positions 1158 to 1678 of the family's 1831-position model. The record is from RNAcentral. Lineage: Eukaryota; Foraminifera.
UAAGGGGCACCACAAGAACGCGUGGAGCAUGUGGCUUAAUUUGACUCAACGCGGGAAAACUUACCGGGUCCGGACACACUGAGGAUUGACAGGCGAAGUAAAUACGCUAGUCCUUUCAUGAUUGUGUGAUAGGUGGUGCAUGGCCGUUCUUAGUUCGUGGAGUGAUCUGUCUGCUUAAUUGCGUUUCAGAUAUAAUUGGGUACAUGUAGUGACAAUAUGUCUGUGCAGCUACACUUAUAGUGUGGCUGUCAGCAUGUUUAACUCUAUACCCAUUGAAAGCAACGAACGUGACCGCAACCCUUUGUUGUGAUUCAAUCUUUGAUUAUCACAAACUAAGGGGACCGCCAGGGUUGUCAAACCGGAGGAAGGUUGCGGCAAUAACAGGUCUGUGAUGCCCUUAGAUGUUCCGGGCUGCACACGUGCUACAAUGAUUGUUCCAGUAAGUAUCUAUUGGUAUUGAUUGUUGUGCAGACUCUCAAAGGUCUGUGCAAUGAUCCACACUGUUGUGAUAUCUAUGUAUAUUGUAAAAUAUGCAUUGUGUCAUAGCUGCUGUGAAACCUACCUCGAAAGUGCGGUAGGCAAUCAAUUCCAAGUGACAAUCUCCCGCGCACACAUCUUAACUGAUUGCGCGCGCACACACUUUUAGUGUGUGUGUGUUCAAUCACGUGCUCUAUUCAAUUCGUGGUCGGGACAGACCAUUGCUAAUUGUUGGUCUCGGUCUCAACUAGGAAUGCCUUGUACGGGUCUUUGGUUCAACAGACCACCCGGAAUACGUCCCUGCCCUUUGUACACACCGCCCGUCA